Molecule: long non-coding RNA, 628 nt
Filed under: Lupinus mutabilis
Lineage: Eukaryota; Viridiplantae; Streptophyta; Magnoliopsida; Fabales; Fabaceae
Description: partial ncRNA
Source: RNAcentral
UACCCUCCACAAUAUGGGGCAUACCCUCCACAACAAGGGUACCUGUCUGGUGGGUAUCCUCCUGGUGCCUACCCAUCUUCUGGUUACCCACAUACUGGGUCCCAUGGACACGGCGGCAUAGGAGGAAUGCUUGCUGGAGGUGCGGCUGCCGCCGCUGCUGCCUACGGUGCUCACCAUGUCUCCCACGGAGGCUAUGGCGGCUACGGAGGCCAUGGCAGCUAUGGAGCUCAUGGUGGCUAUGGACAAGUUGCUCACAUGCCCCAUGGAAAAUUCAAGAACCAUGGCAAGUUCAAGCAUGGAAAAUUUGGCAAGCAUGGUGGGUCGUACAAGAAGUGGAAGUAAGGAACGUAUAUGGAACCAUGACUCCAAAAAUUGUUGCAUAGUUCUUAUAGCUUUAUAAAUAAACUAUGCUUAGUAUGAUGGAGGCACAUCAUACUAAGUUGACACUCUCUUGCUUGAGUUCUUGGUGACAGCAAAAACAUUGACAAAUUAAUGCCUACUUUGUUUGUUUGUUGUGUAAUACUAUGAUCAUUUUAUUACCUAAGUUGGUUUUUGUUUUAUUUUUACAUCAUAUGAAACUUCUUUUGAUCAGUAUUACAUUGUUUUCACAUGUCACAAGUGCACAACA